AGUGGCGGACGGGUGAGUAACGCGUGAGAAUCUGCCUUGGGGUCGGGGACAACCACUGGAAACGGUGGCUAAUACCGGAUAAGCCGAUUGGUGAAAGAUUUAUUGCCCGAAGAGGAGCUCGCGUCUGAUUAGCUAGUUGGUGAGGUAAGAGCUCACCAAGGCAGCGAUCAGUAGCUGGUCUGAGAGGACGAUCAGCCACACUGGGACUGAGACACGGCCCAGACUCCUACGGGAGGCAGCAGUGGGGAAUUUUCCGCAAUGGGCGAAAGCCUGACGGAGCAAGACCGCGUGAGGGAGGAAGGCUCUUGGGUUGUAAGCCUCUUUUCUCAGGGAAGAAGCUCUGACGGUACCUGAGGAAUCAGCCUCGGCUAACUCCGUGCCAGCAGCCGCGGUAAUACGGAGGAGGCAAGCGUUAUCCGGAAUUAUUGGGCGUAAAGCGUCCGCAGGUGGCGAUUCAAGUCUGCUGUCAAAGCACGGGGCUUAACUCCGUAAAGGCAGUGGAAACUGAAUAGCUAGAGUGCCGUAGGGGUAGAGGGAAUUCCCGGUGUAGCGGUGAAAUGCGUAGAGAUCGGGAAGAACAUCGGUGGCGAAAGCGCUCUACUGGACGGCAACUGACACUCAGGGACGAAAGCUAGGGGAGCGAAUGGGAUUAGAUACCCC
This 660-nucleotide ribosomal RNA is filed under the name uncultured bacterium. RNAcentral describes it as "bacterial SSU rRNA". It matches the Rfam family "Bacterial small subunit ribosomal RNA", at positions 94 to 788 of the family's 1533-position model. The record is from RNAcentral.